Lynx canadensis (Canada lynx) is the source of this 2765-nucleotide long non-coding RNA. RefSeq lists it as uncharacterized. NCBI's taxonomy places the organism in Eukaryota, Metazoa, Chordata, Mammalia, Carnivora, Felidae. The record is from RefSeq and is a predicted model, not a curated record. The transcript has 2 exons.
GGAGUAUUAAUUGCCAAUCUCCUGGAGAUACUCAAAGCCGUUAUUGUUGGGAUGCGAGGAAUUGAUAAGAGAGAGCUUUUCUGGGGAAACAAUCUCUCGGUGGAAAGUCAAGCGGAAAAUGAAGAAUGAGCCAGAUCUAUUUGUAGCGUUGUGAUUAAACCUGUAUGACUAGUACGAGGAAAAGUAACAUGACCUUUAUUAAAAGAGCACACAAAGGAGGUGACAUUUUCUUCCUAUUAGCUGGCAAAGAAGGAUAAAUGUCAACCAGCAUGAGUAAAUGUAUCGGGGGGCCAACACCCUGAAACUUUCGGCUCUCAAGUUAACUUGUCCAUAUGGUAAGUUUUCAAAUGGACAUGACUUUUAAACCACUAGUUGUUCCAUUUAGGGUUCACGCCAAAGAAAUCGUCAGAGCUGGACCAAAGAUGUACAAUUUAGGGGGGAAAAAUAAAUCCUAAGUGUCUAGCAAAAGUAGAAGGCAGUUUUGAUAGGUGGCUUUACGGUAUGAAUGUCUAGGCAGCGAGCAGUGUAAAAAAAAAUCCGUGUUAAAAAUAUGAUACCUAUGUAAGUGGAAAAAGCAGAUUCCAGAUCAGUAUGUGCCUCUUGGUAUUCCUUUAUUAAAACAAAAGUAGUAUAUUCAUACAUGUAAAUAGAGAUUAGUUGGACAUAUACCAAAAUUAACUAAUACUUGAGAGGAUUAUGGAUGUUUCAUUUUCUUUGUGCUUUUCAGUUUUCUUACAGUCUUACAUUACAUUUGGAAUCAGUAAAGACAAAAAACCCAACUGCUAUUGUUUUCACGAAUGGUACUGAUGAAACCUUGCACCACAAAGAGUCAAGGAAAAAUGUUUCUCAGCGUUGGGCAACUAAAUAGAAAGAGCCUCAUUCCAGAAACAGAGGUUCCUCAUAACACACCAAAUGUUUCUGAGUCUCUUCUGAGCCAUGUUGUGGCAGGGGAAAGCAAACAGGAGCUGGUAGUUUGGAGGAGGGCCAGCCUCAGAGAACAGGUCCUCGUCCCCCACCACCGUCAAGACUGAAAGAAAUCAUUGUAUCAUCCAUGAUGUCCAAAUGCUUCCCUGCCCAUGCUGAAGCCUCUCCUCUUCCUCAAGGCCGGGAAGACUGUCCUUCUGCCAGUGGACAGAUCCCUGUUGAGACCCAUCGGCUCACCGGACACCCCAUUAUUACUGCCGCCUGAUCCCCCAUCAUUGUUCCCUUUCUACCUCGUGACACAUCCCAACGCUUGGUAUCUGCGUCAUCUUUGAACAUUCUCACGUCCUUCAGCAUGCAGCUGUGUCUUUGGAGUCUGCCUCUUUCCCUGUAUCACCCUCUGCCCUUGCACUUGGCUCGGGUGCACGGGUCCUAAGCUUGGUACAGACACUAACUCACUCCUUGUCUGCCACAUGUGGCCACAAAUGAUCAACCUCGCUCCUGUGGAACACUGUGGCCAAAAACCCAAUCUUGAAAAAGACACUUGUGACAAAUUCAUUUUGGACUUCCUGUAUCAUUAUUAAAACGGUGGUCAACAGUCAGUCUACACAAUUUGAGAUGCACCUUGAUGUAAAAAAAUGUUUCCAAAAAGUUGAGGAUAAAUGAAAUGUUGAUAAAUUUAUUCUCAACUGUUUAGUGUACACUUCUCAUUUUAGUAAGUCUGUACUUAGAAUUUGGGGAAAUUAACUUACUCAUAAGUGAAUUUAGCAUGGGAAAGAAAACACAUAAGUACAACAUUGGUAGAUUACAAGUGACAAAUGUUUGAAGAAUGAAUGAGCAAGCGAAUGAAUGCAUUGGUGUUACUGGGCAAAAACAAUAAAUGAAAUAUUGGAUACUAUGGCAUGUAAGCAUAUAUACAGUUUUUAAUGAUAAAAGGAUGGUGUUUAUUUGGUAGAAACCACACCAGGAAUAAUGUUAUACAGUCAAUAUAAUCUCAGUGUAUAACCCUGUAAAUGUGAAGAAGCUUAAGUGUACUAGCCACUGGAUGAAGGCUAUUAUAGGUCAUUUUUAUAUACUUUAUAUUUUCUGUAUUUUCUACCUUUUCAAUAAGCACAUAUUACUAUUAAAAGACACUAUUUUCAAAAUGGUAUAGGCACUAAGUUCUACGAGUGCCAAAGAAAGACAUGACUUUGGACCACAGCACAUUGGGAGGGCUUCUUGGGUGAGUGAAUUCUGAGCGGAGUAAUGCAGAUAGGAUUGGAAGGAAAAUGGUAAAGCGUUUAGGUGGGUAACCGGCCAGGAUUGAGGAGAUAUCAAAUGAUAUUUUAAGUAUAAUUCUGUAUUAUUUUUGAAUGGACUUUCGUAAAGACAACCAUUGCCCUCACAGUGGGCAGUUACUUUGUGUGUUUACAGUGGGUGACAAUCCGGCUAGGGAUGAAUCAGUCUGGCCCAGCUUUUCCAUCAUAGUAAAGGACAAGCAGUACAUCACCCCAAGAGCCUCGGAGGCAUAAUGUAAAGUAUUCCUGAAAGCAUAGUAUUAUCUGUCUUAUUUUAUCUUAAAAUCUGCAUUAUUUGACUUCUGUUCCUAUACCUAUGUAUUUGUGUUAAGAUAUAAAUAAUGCUCUUUUCAUUUCAAACUACUGGGAUCACAGUAGGAAAAAAAACACUCUCCUAGGAAAUCAUGCCAUUCCUGUCUCAUGACUUCAAUAUCCUACUGAUAUACUAGUCAAGCUUCUCUAGGUAUAUGCUCUUUUGAGAAGAAUCAGACUGAUGGUUAUUAUAGCUUCAAAAAGUUAAUUACUAAUACUGAGUUUUUAAAAAGCAGUGCACAUUUCAUUUGCUUC